Molecule: unclassified non-coding RNA, 89 nt
Filed under: Pseudomonas granadensis
Lineage: Bacteria; Pseudomonadati; Pseudomonadota; Gammaproteobacteria; Pseudomonadales; Pseudomonadaceae
Source: RNAcentral
GGUAGGAGUGAGCCUGCUCGCGAUAGCGGUAUGUCAGUUGCCAUAAUGUUGACUGACACACCGCUAUCGCGAGCAGGCUCACUCCUACA